Molecule: long non-coding RNA, 1548 nt
Organism: Equus asinus (donkey)
Lineage: Eukaryota; Metazoa; Chordata; Mammalia; Perissodactyla; Equidae
Source: Ensembl
GUAAGCUUGUUUGGAUUCUGCUUCUCACGCUACUUUGGGGAGAAGGCAGGGGAGGUGUAGGCAUCUGUGUUUUAUGGCCAAAGAAGCCCAGAUGAUGACUGAUGACCCAAUGACUGCUCAAGGUCUUCCGGGCAGGGAGGCAGGUCUUUGACCCAGACCCAGCUUUGCCUCCACCACACCCUUUUGACACUGGAGUUGACCCUCCAGGAAGAAGGACUCUGGCUCCAAGGUGUAAUGAAAAGCCAUGUGCUGCGUUCCUAAACAUCACCAGAUAUUUCCAGGGGAAAAUAGUAGCUUCAGUGUGACCAUUAGCGGCCACACCUUCGUGAGCCUCGGCAGGCAGAGCCGCCAUCCCUCUGACUUUGUAACAAGGUACAGACAGAAAGUGGAACCAGAGGAAGAUUUUCCGUGAGAUAACAUCCACUGCCAAUCCUCCUCUUUUCGUUUGUGAGCCGCUGCCACAGCAUGGCCAUUGACAGAUGAGUGGGUUGUACAUUCUUACGACAAUGUCAAUCAUCUGAAUGCAUCGGGUUGAGGCUGCUGAGAGAAGGAGAGCUUCUCUAAUGUGAACAUGAAAGUAUACGUGUCCAGAUUCACGCAGGAAUGUGGUUUGAAAAGGAAUCAGAAACAGCCUUUCUUUUCCAUUCCUGAACUGCCCUGGGCGCCACAAAGUCACAGAUUUGAACCACUGCAGAGCUAUUUGGUGGAAAGGAAGUCACUAUCUACGAGGAGUCAUAGAUGAAAUGACGUGAAUCAUGCAUGAGUUUCUCUAGCUGCCUCCGGAGUCUAAGCCUGGGGGCAUGGCCGAAUUCUCAAGCAUCUGCCCCAUGAGGAUGACUCGGUUUUACUGGAUUGACCACCUAGAUGAUGCGAUAUUUCCAGAAACUUGGGGAUCCAUCACAGAACAGUACUUGAAUUGUCUAUGAGCCAACUCUAUGCCUCACAACAUAAAUCAGCUGGAAGUUAAAAGUCACCACAAGUCAUGUAAACCUACAUCCAGGAUUGAGAAUUGUUUUUGAUUUAAUACAUUUCACAGUUCUUGAGGAUGGUUUAGACUCCUAAAUACCAAUAAUCUCUUGACUUGACCACAUCUGAUUAAAGACUAAUUUUAGGCCUCUAACUGUGUAUUAUGAUCUGAAAAUAGUGCUUUGGACUGUUUUUAUGUUUCUGAUAAAUAUCUACACGUUCGAAUAGCUAACGCAUUUACCAUUAAAAAAUGUCAUGCAGCAGCACGCACCGUGUAUGUAUUUCUGAUGGAAUGGUUUACAAAUGAAAAAAAAAAUUAAACACCCUCAUCUCUUAAAGCCAUGCCUGGGCUUAACUUCUCUGGAUUAUUCUACAUAUUCCAAAGCGUUUAUCCUUUGAACUCACUUUUCUUUCAAUUUCCAGCCAAAUAAUUUUUAUUUAAAUUCAACACAUCUUAAGGCUCACGUUCCUGAGUCCAGCGUGAAAGAAAAAGUCCUUCAGGGCUCACUGCCAUUUGCCAAGCUGAAAUGAUUGACACACCCUGUGACCAAGGAGGGCCCAGCCUUUCCUGUUUCAGAAUAU